GACGAACGCUGGCGGCGUGCUUAACACAUGCAAGUCGAACGGAAAGGCCCUGCUUUUGUGGGGUGCUCGAGUGGCGAACGGGUGAGUAACACGUGAGUAACCUGCCCUUGACUUUGGGAUAACUUCAGGAAACUGGGGCUAAUCCCGUAUAGGAUCUCCUGCUGCGUGGUGGGGGUUGGAAAGUUUCGGCUGGUGGGGAUGGACUCGCGGGUUAUCAGCUUGCUGGUGGGGGAGCGGCUUACCAAGGCAUUGACGGGUAGCCGGCCUGAGAGGGUGACCGGCCACAUUGGGACUGAGAUACGGACCAGACUCCUACGGGAGGCAGCAGUGGGGAAUAUUGCACAAUGGGCGGAAGCCUGAUGCAGCAACGUCGCGUUCGGGAUGACGGCCUUCGGGUUGUAAACAGCUUUCGCCUGUGACGAAGCGUGAGUGACGGUACUGGGUAAAGAAGCACCGGCUAACUACGUG
Molecule: ribosomal RNA, 468 nt
Filed under: uncultured bacterium
Lineage: Bacteria
Description: partial 16S ribosomal RNA
Rfam family: Bacterial small subunit ribosomal RNA
Source: RNAcentral